Molecule: ribosomal RNA, 466 nt
Filed under: uncultured bacterium
Lineage: Bacteria
Description: bacterial SSU rRNA
Rfam family: Bacterial small subunit ribosomal RNA
Source: RNAcentral
UGAACGCUGGCGGUAUGCCUAACACAUGCAAGUCGUACGAGGGUUUUUAACUCUAGUGGCGGACGGGUGAGUAACACGUGAGAAUUUGCCUUUAGGAGGGGGAUAACAAUCGGAAACGAAUGCUAAUACCCCAUAUGCUUUCGAGUGAAAUGGAUUUAUCCGCCUAAAGAGAAGCUCGCGGCUGAUUAGCUUGUUGGUAAGGUAAGAGCUUACCAAGGCGACGAUCAGUAUCUGGUUUGAGAGGACGAUCAGCCACACUGGGACUGAGACACGGCCCAGACUCCUACGGGAGGCAGCAGUGGGGAAUAUUGGACAAUGGGCGAAAGCCUGAUCCAGCAAUGCCGCGUGAGUGAUGAAGGCCUUAGGGUUGUAAAGCUCUUUUACCAGGGAUGAUAAUGACAGUACCUGGAGAAUAAGCUCCGGCUAACUCCGUGCCAGCAGCCGCGGUAAUCUGAUGGCGCGAGGG